Aotus nancymaae (Ma's night monkey) is the source of this 127-nucleotide small nucleolar RNA. NCBI's taxonomy places the organism in Eukaryota, Metazoa, Chordata, Mammalia, Primates, Aotidae. The record is from Ensembl.
ACCCUCUGGUUCCUGUUCCCAUUGGAUCUGAACGCUGGUCCUGGUGGUUGUAACAGGAGGCCGAGUAACACUGAAGGUGGCCUCGCAGUGUUGUAGUCUGGCAUAUAGUUUCCACAAUGGUUCAAAA